Loxodonta africana (African savanna elephant) is the source of this 5133-nucleotide long non-coding RNA. RefSeq lists it as uncharacterized. The transcript has 3 exons. Lineage: Eukaryota; Metazoa; Chordata; Mammalia; Proboscidea; Elephantidae. The record is from RefSeq and is a predicted model, not a curated record.
UCCCUUUUUUUUUUUUUUUUUUCUCCCUUUAUCUCCACGGCUAUGCAUGUUCCACUCUUGUCCCCUCCUGUCCUUCCUGUCUGUCUGGACGGGACCAUUCUACUCAGUUCCUUCAAAGGUCUGUCCUUGGCUCUUGUUUCCAUUUGCUACCAUUUUAUCCCUCAGCACAGACCUUCUCUUACACAUGGCUUUAUCCCCAUGCAGAUACAACACCUUCAACACCUUCUAGAGAUUUCUCCAUGAAAGUUAUUAUAGACUGAAUUGUGCCCCCCACCAAAAAAAAAAAAAAAAUGUGUCGACUUGGCUAGGCCAUGAUUCCUAGUAUUGUGUGGUUGUUUACCAUUUUGUGAUCUGAUGUGAUUAUCCUGUGAGUUGUAAAUUGUAACCUCUAUGACAUUAAUGAGGCAGGAUUAGAGGUAGUUAUGUUAAUGAGGCAGGAUUCUGCAGGAAUAGGUUGUAUCUUGAGUCAAUCUAUUUUGAGAUAUAAAAGAAAGAAUAGAUCAUAGAGGAAAAGGACCUCAUUACCACAGAGAAAUAAGAGCCAAGGGCUUAGCGCAUCUUUUGGACCCACAGUCCCUGUGCUAAGAAACUCUUAGACUCAGGGGAAGAUUGAUGACAAGGACCUUCCCCCAGAGCCAACAGAGAGAAAAAGCCUUCCCUUGGAGUUGGUGCCCUGCAUUUGGACUUCUACCCUCCUAAAUUGUGAUAGAAUAAAUUUCUGUUUGUUAAAGCCAACCACCUGUGGUAUUUCUGUCAUAGCAGCACUAGAUAACUAAGACAAAAGUCAUUUUGUACCUUCCAAAGCAAUAUACUUAAAAUAGACACACUUCAUUCCCAAAUUAUUGCCUUCUCUUAUUUCCCACUGGGAGACCACCAUUUUCGUAGUCGUUCAGGUUUGAAAUUGAGGAGUCAUCAUUAAGUUUUUACUUCAAUCACAUGCUACUGUCUCCAUCCUUUUCAAGUGUCCAACUGACAACUAGCAUUCCACUUCCAUCCCUUAUGACUCUAUGCUUCGCAUGGGCACUAGCUCCUAACUGACCUCUCUUAAAUCCAUUCUUUGUAUCACCACUGGGUUAAUUUUCCUAGAGCAUCACUUGGAUUCUAUCUUUCUAGUGCAGCUCUUCUCAGGUAAAGAGCAAACAAAUUUUUCUAAUCAAGAAAGUAGGGAAUUCUACCCUGUUUUCCAAGGGUAGAAAAAGAGAGCUUGUGAGAGGACACUUUUAUGGGAAGUGAAACCCUCCCUUCCCCCCGGUGUGGCCCAGUACAGGUCCUGUCCAGGUCCUACCAGAAUAUCCAAGAUAGACUCCAUCUGCCCUCCCCCACCCAGUCUCCCCUCCUCCUAUCCAGAUUGCCAUACAUUAGCUGAGAACUACUGGAAGUAGUUCUUAAAACAGUCCUGACCCAGCUUUUCUCCUGGUCAAAACCCUUUGCUGGUCCCCUAUUGCCCCUGCUAUAGUUAUGUCUCAACCUGACCUCCACAUGCUGACAACUUCCAUUCCCUAUCUCCUUACCAAAAUUACAGCAACUAACUGCUCUAUGACCACAUCAGACAUUCUUUGGUCAUAGUGCCUCUGAAAUUUUUCUUUCAAUAUUUACAGGCCAAAAGUUUUAUUUAUUCUUCAAAUCCCUUCACAGAGCCUGCUUCUGGGAGCCACACUUGGCUAAAGUAUGUCUACGGUGGUACUUACUUUAACCAGUUGGCAUCAACUCAUGGGGACCCCAUGUGUGUCAGAGUAGAGCUGUGCUCCAUAGGGUUUACAAUGACUGAUUUUUCUGAAGUAAAUCUCCAGGACUUUCUUCCGAGGCACCCCGGGUAGACUCAAACCUCCAACCUUUCAGUUAGCAGUUGAGAGCGUUAACUAUUUGCACCACCCAGAGGCUUAGAGUGUUGUUAUUGAGGUACAAUACUUGACUGGGUAACAGAGUCUCAGAAGGCUUUACCUGUUACUAGCAGUGAGAACUUGACAACUUUUAACCUCUUUAAGUAAAGUUAAUUUUGCCAAAAGUACGUAGUUUUAGAGAGGAUUAAAUGAUUCAAUAUCUAAAAGCACCUAGUAUAAUGCUUGGCAUAGUAGGUGCCCAUAAAUGUAUUGAAUGAAUGAACAAAACCCAGUGUGAAUUCUCCUCUCCCCAAAUUUUAACCAAAAGAAAAUGUUGAGUGCUGAUUGCAUUAAUGAACUAUGUACAGUGAACUUUUAAUUACCUACCAGUACAGAAGAAGUCAGAGACCAAGGUAGUAAAAAACCACAGAUAACUCAGAAUGAAUAUAUACUUAUCUUUGGAAGGAAUUCCUAAAUUUCUUUUUCACAUCAGUUUUGUUUUCCUUGGGGAAAUGUUUAAAAUUUUAUUUUCAUUUCUAAGAGCACCAACUGAGAGACUAAAUACUUGCAAUACAUUUUAAGGCAGUAAUAGACUGGCUCAAGACUUUUUAAAACCAUAUACAAAAAGUGAUCAAGCACACUGUAUUAAUUUCCUAGAGCUGCUGUAACAAGUGCUACAAAUGGAAUGGCUUAAAAUGACAGAAAUUUAUUCUCUCACAGCUCUCAAGGCUAGAAGUUCAAAUAAGGCUGUCAAUAGAGCCAUACUCUCUCUCUGAAGACUCUAGGAGAAGAUCCUUUCUUGCCUCUUUCAGCUUCUGGUGACCCCAACUGUUCCUUGGCUUAUCAGCAUAGCUCCUGUCUCUGCCUCUGUCUUCAGUGGUCUUCUCCCCCUAUGUCUCUGUGUCUCUAUGCGUAUAUCCCUUUGCUUUCUUUUAUGAAGACACUAGUCAUUAGAUUUAGAGCCCACCCUAAUUCAAUAUGACCUCAUCUUAAUUUGAUUACAUCUGCAAAGACUCUAUUUUCAAAUAGGGUCACUUUCCUAGGUACGAGGGUUAAGACUUCAACAUAUUUUUAUGGGGGACACAAUUCAAUCCAUUACACAUACUAUUUUCACAGUGAUAUUCGGAGAAACACGAUGGUUGAAAAUCCUGACUUUGGGCACAUUCAUGAUGUUUUUGUAAUUUUCCCCUCUCACUUUCUUGGGGAACUCAUUUUUUGAAUGCCAGUACACACUUUUUUUUUUUUUUUUUAGUACUUCAUGUGAUAUUCACUGAGAGAAGAGGCUCUGGGAAAGUGCCAGGUUCUUCCAUCUCCACCUGGAAGAUGAACACUAACUCUACAGCUUCCCAUUCCUCCACAAUUCUCCAGACAUUUCUGUCACCACAUCCUCAUCUUUGUGCCAGGGCGUAAUAAGGACCUCACAAUGGGCAGAUCGGAUAGAGGAGCUACAAGGCUAUGGGGACCAUGUUCUGAAUCGGAGAUGACAAGGAGGUUUAAUUCCAAAUCAGUUGGUACCGUUCCCCUAGAGUGAGAAGGAUUCUGAGGCUUCAGCUGGCCUAGGUGGAGGGAGUGCUGUAAUCAGCUAGCAAUGUCUGCCAAGGAAUGGAAGAAAGGUUCAAUAAGCAUCGCUGCAACAAAUGUAGAGAAAAUGCCUAUAAGCACCAGGUUCAUCAGUCAGAACGAGGCCAGGGGACGACUUCAGAACAGACCAUCAAUUGCUCAUAUGCAAGUUUGAAGAAAAUAAGAACAAGUCCAGGACAGCCAAAGUAUGACCUUGAGUAUAUCCCAUCUGAAUUUAGAGACCAUCUCAAGAAUAGAUUUGACAGGUUGAACACUAAUGACCAAAAACCAGAUUAGUUGUGGAAUGACAUCAAGUGUAUCAUACAUGAAGAAAGUAAAAAGUCAUUAAAGAGACAGGAAAGAAAGAAAAGACCAAAAUGGAUGUCAGAAGAGACUCUGAAACUUGAACAUCAGUAGUUAAAACAAAUGGAAGAAAUGAUGAAGUAAAAGAACUGAACAGAUUUCAAAGCGGGGCUCAAGAAGACAGGGUAAAGUAUUGUAAUGAUAUGUGCAAAGACCUGGAGGUAGAAAACCAAAAGGGCAGAACACUCUCAGCAUUUCUCAACCUGAAAGAACAGAAGAAAAAAUUCAAGCCUGCAGUUGCAAUACUGAAGGAUUCCACAGGGAAAAUAUCGAAUAUUAAAAGUGCCCACUGCCAUCUAAAGUACCUAAGCAUCAGCUUUCACUGUAAAAAAAAAAAAAAAGUACCGUACACAUAUAUGUUGCUAUUACCCUGUAUCUGUAUAUCCUUACCUUUAGGCAAUAUUUACAUAUUUGUAUGUAACUUGGAUGUUAGUGGGGUAUUCCUACCUGUUAAGAGCUAGAUAAAACUGUUCCACGUCUGAAUCUGUGUCUUGUGGUAGCAUAGUGUUCUCUCCAUGAUUUCCUUGGACCCCAGGGUGGGGGUGGAGGGUGUGGCAGGAAAGAAGAUGGUUCUGCUGCCAUAGGUCUGUCUUCUGUCCCCACUAAUUUGGUUCAUUUAUGGAGGUCUGGCCAUCCUGUGCUUGCUUCCCCACACUAUGUCAGACAUCGGCCCGAACACUUUCUACGAUUCGCACAGGGAAAUUCUAUAUACAUAAAGGCUUUAUGUGGGUAGCGGUCUUUACUGAAGAUUGGAGGACAAGGAGGAGAGGGUUUCAUCACAUCAGUGCACAUAAUUUCAAGUUGCAGGUGAAACAUCCCUCUUCUUAAAAGUCCUUUUUUCACCCCCACCAGGAAUUUUUCACUGCCUGCCUUAUUUAUGCCAGAGAGCAUCACACCAUACUUUUCUCUGUUUCUUUCCUUCUCAGAAACAAGCAGGCAUACAGAAACAUGCUAUAGGCAUUUACUGUCUUUUUGGUUGCUAUAUCCUUAAUUUCAAGAUCUUGUCUUACAUCUCAAGAGGCUUCAUAAAAUAUUUUUUUAAAGAAUAUUCUCUCCCUAAGAGGUAUUCUGUUCCCAGCUAAGGUAAUAACAGUUUCACACCAAAUACAUGUCAAGUCAGCCCCAACUCAUGGUGACUUUGUGUAUGAGAGAAUGAAAUGUUGCCUGGUCCUGCACCAUCAUUGGCAUGUUAGAGCCCACUGUUGUAGCUAUUGUGUAUUUUAAGUGCCUUCUAACCUUCAGGGCUCAUCUCUCAGCUCUACAUUGGACAAUAUUGUGUUGUGAUCCUUAGAGUUUUCAUUGGCUAAUUUUCAGAAGUACAUUGUCAGGCCUUUCUUCCUAGUCUAUUUUAUUCUGGAAGUUCUGCUGAACCUAUCCACCAUUGGUGACC